Molecule: ribosomal RNA, 169 nt
Filed under: Mouriri helleri
Lineage: Eukaryota; Viridiplantae; Streptophyta; Magnoliopsida; Myrtales; Melastomataceae
Description: 5.8S ribosomal RNA
Rfam family: 5.8S ribosomal RNA
About the family: 5.8S ribosomal RNA (5.8S rRNA) is a component of the large subunit of the eukaryotic ribosome. It is transcribed by RNA polymerase I as part of the 45S precursor that also contains 18S and 28S rRNA. Functionally, it is thought that 5.8S rRNA may be involved in ribosome translocation.
Source: RNAcentral
GGAAAACGACUCUCGGCAACGGAUAUCUCGGCUCUUGCAUCGAUGAAGAACGUAGCGAAAUGCGAUACUUGGUGUGAAUUGCAGAAUCCCGUGAACCAUCGAGUCUUUGAACGCAAGUUGCGCCCGAAGCCAUUCAUUUGGCCGAGGGCACGCCUGCUUGGGUGUCGUG